GACGAACGCUGGCGGCGUGCUUAACACAUGCAAGUCGAACGGAAAGGCCCUGCUUUUGUGGGGUGCUCGAGUGGCGAACGGGUGAGUAACACGUGAGUAACCUGCCCUUGACUUUGGGAUAACUUCAGGAAACUGGGGCUAAUACCGGAGAGGAGCUCCUGCUGCAUGGGGGGGGUUGGAAAGUUUCGGCGGUUGGGGAUGGACUCGCGGCUUAUCAGCUUGUUGGUGGGGUAGUGGCUUACCAAGGCUUUGACGGGUAGCCGGCCUGAGAGGGUGACCGGCCACAUUGGGACUGAGAUACGGCCCAGUCUCCUACGGGAGGCAGCAGUGGGGAAUAUUGCACAAUGGGCGGAAGCCUGAUGCAGCAACGCCGCGUGCGGGAUGACGGCCUUCGGGUUGUAAACCGCUUUCGCCUGUGACGAAGCGUGAGUGACGGUAAUGGGUAACGAAGCACCGGCUAACUACGUG
RNAcentral lists this ribosomal RNA (468 nucleotides) under uncultured bacterium. RNAcentral's name for it is "partial 16S ribosomal RNA". It matches the Rfam family "Bacterial small subunit ribosomal RNA", at positions 28 to 507 of the family's 1533-position model. The record is from RNAcentral.